RNAcentral lists this ribosomal RNA (253 nucleotides) under uncultured bacterium. RNAcentral describes it as "partial 16S ribosomal RNA". It matches the Rfam family "Bacterial small subunit ribosomal RNA", at positions 524 to 776 of the family's 1533-position model. The record is from RNAcentral.
GACAGAGGGUGCAAACGUUGCUCGGAAUUACUGGGCGUAAAGCGCGUGUAGGCGGUUUCGCAAGUCAGGUGUGAAAGCCCGGGGCUCAACCCCGGAAGUGCACUUGAUACUACGGAGCUGGAGUACUGAAGAGGAGAGCGGAAUUCCCGGUGUAGAGGUGAAAUUCGUAGAUAUCGGGAGGAACACCAGUGGCGAAGGCGGCUCUCUGGGCAGAUACUGACGCUGAGACGCGAAAGCGUGGGUAGCAAACAGG